UUUGUCUGAACUAGCCAGAAAAUUAAGGCCACCAUGUUUCUGCUUCAUUCCUCAGCUCCUGUAGGCACGUUUCUGUUGUGGGUAGAAAAGGGAGUUAACCCUACUGUGGACAGAGACGGCCCAUAAGAUUGUUAUCACGCCAGCUCCGACACCAAGACAUCUACAACUUCAGGAAAGGAGCCGACGAGCAGCAACUGCGAAGCCACACUUGCCAGGGCCUGGGGACACCAAGGCCACAAACUGUGAGCAUUCCAUACAAGAUGAGAACCAGUCUUCCUGCACUGGGAAAGAUGACCUUGAACCUGGCUACGGUCUCGAACCAUUCAGGUUUACUCUCCCCGCCACACAAGCCCAGAAACAUGCCUGCAGAUGCACUGGGACAAGACUAUACAACAAGAGGCCCUAACCCAAACCACAAGGCAGGCUCCGUGCUCCCAGCUUCUGCGCCUGCCAACUCUGCCCAAUCCCUAAAUACAGAGGCCACCAUUACUCUGCUCCAGAGGCGUGUGUCUGAUCCUCUGUCCUAUUCCACACUCAAUGUGCUCAUGGCUCUGAGGGACACUGCCAGUUUUGGAGGUCCCUGGCCCAGCCUCACUGUAUCUUCUCUGUCGUGGGAGCAGCAAUGCCCGGGGUGUUGGUGGUAG
Oryctolagus cuniculus (rabbit) is the source of this 644-nucleotide non-coding RNA. NCBI's taxonomy places the organism in Eukaryota, Metazoa, Chordata, Mammalia, Lagomorpha, Leporidae. The record is from RefSeq and is a predicted model, not a curated record.